Molecule: ribosomal RNA, 500 nt
Filed under: uncultured bacterium
Lineage: Bacteria
Description: partial 16S ribosomal RNA
Rfam family: Bacterial small subunit ribosomal RNA
Source: RNAcentral
AUUGAACGCUGGCGGCAUGCCUUACACAUGCAAGUCGAACGGCAGCACGGGAGCAAUCCUGGUGGCGAGUGGCGAACGGGUGAGUAAUGUAUCGGAACGUGCCCAGUCGUGGGGGAUAACGUAGCGAAAGCUACGCUAAUACCGCAUACGAUCUGUGGAUGAAAGCGGGGGACCGUAAGGCCUCGCGCGAUUGGAGCGGCCGAUAUCAGAUUAGGUAGUUGGUGGGGUAAAGGCCUACCAAGCCGACGAUCUGUAGCUGGUCUGAGAGGACGACCAGCCACACUGGGACUGGGACACGGCCCAGACUCCUACGGGAGGCAGCAGUGGGGAAUGUUGGACAAUGGGCGCAAGCCUGAUCCAGCAAUGCCGCGUGCAGGAUGAAGGCCUUCGGGUUGUAAACUGCUUUUGUACGGAGCGAAAAGGCUCUCUCUAAUACAGGGGGCUCAUGACGGUACCGUAAGAAUAAGCACCGGCUAACUACGUGCCAGCCGCCGCAGUAA